CAGUAGCCGCGGUAAUACGAAGGGUGCAAGCGUUAAUCGGAAUUACUGGGCGUAAAGCGUGCGUAGGCGGUGAGUUAAGUCUGCUGUGAAAUCCCCUGGCUCAACCUGGGAAUGGCAGUGGAUACUGGCUCGCUAGAGUGUGUCAGAGGAUGGUGGAAUUCCCGGUGUAGCGGUGAAAUGCGUAGAGAUCGGGAGGAACAUCAGUGGCGAAGGCGGCCAUCUGGGACAACACUGACGCUGAGGCACGAAAGCGUGGAGAGCAAACAGGAUUAGAUACCCCCGUAGUCCCUGUCUCUUAUAC
RNAcentral lists this ribosomal RNA (301 nucleotides) under uncultured bacterium. RNAcentral's name for it is "partial 16S ribosomal RNA". It matches the Rfam family "Bacterial small subunit ribosomal RNA", at positions 509 to 807 of the family's 1533-position model. The record is from RNAcentral.